UAGGGAAUAUUGGGCAAUGGACGAAAGUCUGACCCAGCCAUGCCGCGUGCAGGAAGAAGGCCUUCUGGGUUGUAAACUGCUUUUGAACGGGAACAAAGAGCCCUUGCGAGGGAAGUUGAGUGUACCGUUAGAAUAAGCACCGGCUAACUCCGUGCCAGCAGCCGCGGUAAUACGGAGGGUGCAAGCGUUGUCCGGAUUUAUUGGGUUUAAAGGGUGCGUAGGCGGUCUUUUAAGUCAGUGGUGAAAUCCUGCAGCUCAACUGUAGAAUUGCCAUUGAUACUGAAAGACUUGAGUACAGACGAGGUAGGCGGAAUUUAUGGUGUAGCGGUGAAAUGCAUAGAUACCAUAAAGAACACCUAUUGCGAAGGCAGCUUACUAGGCUGUAACUGACGCUGAGGCACGAAAGUGUGGGGAUCAAACAGGAUUAGAUACCCUGGUAGUCCACACUGUAAACGAUGAUUACUCGAUGUUCGCGAUAUACAGUGAGCGUCCAAGCGAAAGCGUUAAGUAAUCCACCUGGGAAGUACGAUCGCAAGAUUGA
Molecule: ribosomal RNA, 541 nt
Filed under: uncultured Sphingobacteriales bacterium
Lineage: Bacteria; Pseudomonadati; Bacteroidota; Sphingobacteriia; Sphingobacteriales
Description: bacterial SSU rRNA
Rfam family: Bacterial small subunit ribosomal RNA
Source: RNAcentral